GCUGUGAGAGAGAUGGGGGAGGAGGGAUUGGAAGGGAGUAUACAGUAGGAUGUGAGGGAGUUGGGGGAGGAUGGAUUGGGAGGGAGUAUACAGUAGGCUGUGUAGGAGAUGGGGAGAGGAAUUGGAAGGGAGUAUACAGUAGGCUGUGAGGGAGGUGGGGAGGAUGGAUUGGGAGGGAGUAUACAGUAGGCUGUGUAGGAGAUGGGGAGGAUGGAUUGGAAGGGAGUAUACAGUAGGCUGUGUAGGAGAUGGGGAGGAUGGAUUGGAAGGGAGUAUACAGCAGGCUGUGUAGGAGAUGGGGAGGAUGGAUUGGAAGGGAGUAUACAGUCGGCUGAGGGAGUUGGGGGAGGAUGGAUUGGAAGGGAGUAUACAGUAGGCUGUGUAGGAGUUGGGGGAGCAUGGAUUGGAAGGGAGUAUACAGUAGGCUGUGAGGGGGUUGUGUGGCACCCCUUGAGGAAACGUCAGACUAAGAUGGAAACAUAACACCAAACCUCACAUGAGGAGUUUCCAUAACGUUUCUCACCUUGCCAAAAAAUGCUUUACGUAUACUGUCUAGAAAUAGGAAUUUUAAAACAGCCUUUGUUAAUGAAAUUCAGUGAGAUCUCUAAAUGUCAUGUGUCUGUGUCAAUGUAGCGUUAAUAACUCUGUGGAAAGGAAUCUCCAAUAUCCGGUUAUAUUUGCAACCUUGUUGUCAGAGCGCAGAGGUAACUGCCCCGUCAUAUACGGAGUAGACACUGUGCAAAGUGUGUUCUUCCAUAAGAUCAAGACGGUAUCUUUCCACAUAAGCUUCCCUCUCUGUAAGGACCUUCUCCAAAAUAGCUGAGCCUUCUGUAAAACUGCUUGUGAAAAAAGAAUUGCAGGACGUCUCAAUUACCUGGUCCAUGCCCACUAAAUGCCAGUCAAGCAGUACCUUUCCUCAACAGUGACAGAAGCAGCAAUACCUCCCACACAUCUCCAAAAUGCCCCCUAGGCUUCCCAAGCAAUCACCUUUAGAUCCUAUCGUCACUCUGGGUGGCACAAGGUCCCAGGCCAACUUGUAGUGGAGGAAUAGGGUAUAAUUUCCCCUUGAAAUCAGCUCAAAAUGUUCUCUUGGUGCUUCUUUAUGGACUGUUUCUAGUACGUGGCUUUUCACGAUGACUGGUUCUUUCACUGUCCUUGAUUCCUGAAUUUCCUGAAUCUCCUGGAGCCUGGCAUUUGUUCUUGAUUGACAUUCGGAUGGUUCUGAACCCUCCCUGUAUCCUGGACACCAGUUUUGUUUAGGUUGGUACUCUGGUUCUCUGCAUGCCCAUUCUUGCUAAGCCGGUCAUGAUUUCCAGCUAGUUUCAGCAGCUCCCCUGUUCCCACGGCCAUUUUCACAUGAUAUCUCCCAAAGGCUUUUAAAAUGAAAACCUUUUACACUGGCUACGUUGGGUUCAUAUUAAAGCAAUCCUUUCCCUUACUCAAGGAAGUAAUAAUUAUAUAGGCCAAAUUAAUAAACCCUCUUGUGCAAGUUUUAUAUAUGCCAACAACUAUAAAAACACUUUUUACAAAACUGACAUUAACUAGUACAAUCAUUAUAAUGUAGCUAACAUUAAUUCAUCGUAUCUAAAACCCUUAAGCAUCUUCCAUAACCUGUUUUUUCGACUCCACUUCUUCCUGCAUUCCCAGAGCUGGAUCUUCAGCUGCCACGCUUCUUCCUCGUGUACAACAGUAGUUCUUAAUCUGUUUUGAGUCUGGACCCCUUGGAGGAGCUGAAGAACUCUACACAGAUCCUUUCC
This 1757-nucleotide long non-coding RNA is filed under the name Homo sapiens (human). RNAcentral's name for it is "HSALNT0235745". Lineage: Eukaryota; Metazoa; Chordata; Mammalia; Primates; Hominidae. The record is from RNAcentral.